This 1905-nucleotide long non-coding RNA is filed under the name Capsella grandiflora. Its description in RNAcentral is "long non-coding RNA (CGRA_LNC000133)". Lineage: Eukaryota; Viridiplantae; Streptophyta; Magnoliopsida; Brassicales; Brassicaceae. The record is from RNAcentral.
CACCCAAGAACAACUAGAGAGACUAUAGACCAACUAUCUGGUCCUCCUACUCCGAUGGUGCAACAGCUUACUCCAAUGGAAAGGGAGGCUAGGGUCCUGAGAUACAGAGAGAAGAAGAAGACAAGGAAAUUUGACAAGACAAUAAGGUAUGCUUCAAGAAAGGCAUAUGCAGAGAUACGACCAAGAAUCAAGGGCAGAUUCGCAAAAAGGAUAGAAAUUGAAGCUGAGGCUGAAGAAAUCUUCUCAGCAUCGCUAAUGUCUGAGACUGGAUAUGGAAUUGUUCCUUCCUUCUGAACUACUAUGGUGAAGAUGGACUAGACUGCAUGCUGUAAAUUACUUCUAUUUUGGAUGCCUACAAGUUAUUACCACAGUUACGCAUAUGAAUCCUAGUUUUGUUAAUUUUGUCUAAACUAUUAUGAGUUAAUUAGAUAUGUUCCUAUUAGCUGCACUAGUUUAAGGAAAGCAACAUUUCUCUACAUAGUUUAAAAAUGAAAUGGUGAAAUCUUAUUAUCUUGAACAGUGCCUAUCACUCUAAUUGAAUUGGUGCCACAUGAAAGAGAUAUGCAUCACUAUGAUUAGCUGUAAGUAGAAAACUAAAAGCAGAUUUCACACGUUGUCACUUCACAAGAAAGACGACACCUAAGUUCAAAGUAAAUACCUUUGAUUAUUUUCUAGCAGUAGAAUCUUCAGUUUCUUGACACGUUCAAGAUCACUGAACAUGUAAAUUGCAGGAAAAUUCAACUUAUGCCAACUCAUUCCCUGAGCAAGGAUUAGUCAGAAUAACAUGAUUUGUAAAUUAAACUGAUAACAUGGACCAACAUUGUCCACACAAAUUUAAGAAACUCCAAAAUUUAGCAUGCAAAUCAGCAUCAAUUGGUCAUUUUCGGCUAAUGGGAAUACAUUUACUUAACGUAUUCAGCCAGCUACUAGAACAGGAUGUUGAUGCCUAUGCCAAAUACAAGAAAACGAAGAUAAUUCUCUCCCUCUCUUUACCUUUUGGAAUAAAGGACUAUACUUUCUCACUUUUCAUGGUAAGUGCUGAAAAGAAAGGAUGAUAACCACAUUUUAACCAAGCAUUACUGGUUUCACAUCUGGGAAUGUUCAAAGAGAUCAUAGCGAAGAAACUCCAAUUAGUAUUUAUUGCUAUAAAAUGAUAACCACAUUUUAACCAAGCAUUACUGAGUUCAUACUUCCUAGUAUGCCUCUAGAACAAGAUAAAGUUGUACAUAUUAUUACCUCAUCAAUGAGUCGUCCAAGUUACUCCCAACACGAGCAUUCUGUUUUCUUGUCACAUUUACGGUAAGACAAGGAUGUCUAUGGAAUUGAAGGAAAAGAAACUGGCACGGCCCUGAGCGGUAAGACAGAACAUCAAUGGUGAAGCUCCCGCACAAUUGGAGGACUUUAUCCUAGUCUCUGUACAAAAGAAAGAGUACAUUGACUUAAAUCAUACUCUACAAUUUACAAACAAAAAAGAUCAUUAUAAUGACGAAGUCCCCAGCAAAUAACUAAGAUCAAACUCGAGAAUUUGGGCACUGGACUGAACCACCAAAUUGAUAUCCUUCGUCAUUACUAAGUGUAGUAAACCAGUUUCCUUUUCCGUCAACUGAGAACAGUUUCCCAGACUUUCUCCUUCAUAGCUGAGAGUAAAAACCUCAGUUUCAAGAGAGAACGAAGUCGCUGAGGCAAUUCGUCGAAUACUUGGCGUAAAGGUAAAUCUCUUUCUUACAAUUCUUCAAAUUUCGCAAGUCGUACGAGAGUAAAUAAAGAGCAAUCGGCGGCGACGAUCGAUCAUCGCAAGCUUGAUUUCCCCUUCUUUUUUUUUGGCUGGGGACUCCUAAAUCGCAAUGACGAAUGAUGACGUGUACUUGUCGGAACGAAUUAUAUGGGCCGAAAAACUCACCGGAG